RNAcentral lists this ribosomal RNA (253 nucleotides) under uncultured bacterium. RNAcentral's name for it is "partial 16S ribosomal RNA". It matches the Rfam family "Bacterial small subunit ribosomal RNA", at positions 524 to 776 of the family's 1533-position model. The record is from RNAcentral.
UACGAAGGGUGCUAGCGUUGUUCGGAAUCACUGGGCGUAAAGCGCGCGUAGGCGGCUAUUCAAGUCAGGGGUGAAAUCCUGGGGCUCAACCCCAGAACUGCCUCUGAAACUGGGUAGCUAGAGUGUCGGAGGGGAUAGCGGAAUUCCUAAUGUAGAGGUGAAAUUCGUAGAUAUUAGGAGGAACACCGGUGGCGAAGGCGGCUAUCUGGACGACAACUGACGCUGAGGCGCGAAAGCGUGGGGAUCAAACAGG